This is a non-coding RNA of Potamilus streckersoni, 77 nucleotides long. The record is from the annotation of a GenBank genome assembly. NCBI's taxonomy places the organism in Eukaryota, Metazoa, Mollusca, Bivalvia, Unionida, Unionidae.
AACCACGCUGGUGGUCUAGUGGUUAGAACAUCUGCCUCAGAUGCAGGAGGUCAUGGGUUCGAACCCCAGUCAGGUCA